RNAcentral lists this ribosomal RNA (239 nucleotides) under uncultured bacterium. Its description in RNAcentral is "partial 16S ribosomal RNA". It matches the Rfam family "Bacterial small subunit ribosomal RNA", at positions 57 to 305 of the family's 1533-position model. The record is from RNAcentral.
GCAAGUCGAACGAAGCUAGCAAUAGCUUAGUGGCGGACGGGUGAGUAACACGUGAGCAACCUGCCUUGUACAUUGAUAACACAGAGAAAUUUGUGCUAAUACCGAAUGAGACCACACUACCGCAUGGUAGAGGGGUAAAAGCGAUUUAGCGGUACAAGAUGGGCUCGCGGCCCAUUAGCUAGUUGGUAAGAUAACAGCCUACCAAGGCCACGAUGGGUAGCCGGCUUGAGAGAGUGAUC